Molecule: long non-coding RNA, 1140 nt
Filed under: Salmo salar (Atlantic salmon)
Lineage: Eukaryota; Metazoa; Chordata; Actinopteri; Salmoniformes; Salmonidae
Description: lncRNA (ENSSSAG00000106583.1)
Rfam family: Histone 3' UTR stem-loop (bases 387-432)
Source: RNAcentral
GUGAAGUUUAACUCGGCAACUCGAACAAAUUCUUAUUUACAUUGACGGCCUACCCCUGUAUGAAGGACAAACUUUACUGCCCUGUUUCCAGUUGUCCACAUGGCUGGAAGAACCUAUUCAAAUACCUUGUAACUGGAGAUUCCUUCAAAACGAUUGUCUACAGUUACCGUGUAGGACACUGCAAGGUUGGGUGACCAAGGACCAGGAGGGGAUCUGCAGCUCGCCGCCGUGUGCCAGAGGAGGAGUCUGCUGCUCUGCAGGAUGUUUCAAGGAUGGGGUCCAACAACGCAGCAAGAGAGGCAAUCCGUGUGCAGGAGAUCUUCACCUCCUACUUCAUCAAAGAGGGUGCUGUUCCCUGACAACACCAUAGAUGUCACUAUGCACAACCAAAAGCUCUUUUAAGAGCCAUUCACAUUGCAGUAAGACUAUUCUUCCAUUUACUGAGCUAUGUCAACUGCAGUUAUUCAAUUCACAGUUUCUCUCCCUUUGAUUUCUACUUCUCAGGUGAGGGUGCUGUUUAGGUAAGGGUGUGAUGUCUGUGCAAAAACAAAACAGGCUAUUUUAAAUCACCCAUAUUGAAAAAAUGUAGAACAAUUAGACACCCUAUAACCCACACCUACACACUCAUGAAUCAAUCUGAUUGAUGGAUUGUGUUGUGCAGUAAACAGGCUCAGGUGUAUAACUGUGGCUCCUUCCACCUUCAAAGAAUAGGCAAGAGGGCCAACCAUGGAGAAUAGUAAGACACUUCAUUAUUUCUAUAACUACGCUGUAUUGUUUGUCCUUGUUGGUCCGUUCAUGUUUUUCAGCAUAAAGUACUCUGCAGCCACUUAGUGUGGUGUGGACACCAGGUUAUAUCAGCUGUGUCUGUGAACCCCUCCUGCAUCUGAACUGGCUACAUAGAGGGCACAGCAUGAUCAGAGAUAUGUUUUGAUGUGAGAGGAUGCCAACCCCCAGUCCCAUCAUCACCACCUCACCUGCUUUUAAGAACCUUUGGGCCGACGAGAGACACUAUUAUGUAAUUGUGAUGAACUGAGAGAAUAUUUAUGUAGCACUGUGAUUCAUUAAUCAUGUGCUGCCUUCCCUGCUCCUAUGUGCUUACCUCUUUCUCUUUCUGUCUUUUACACCUCUCUCACCACCUCC